This 464-nucleotide ribosomal RNA is filed under the name uncultured ammonia-oxidizing bacterium. Its description in RNAcentral is "bacterial SSU rRNA". It matches the Rfam family "Bacterial small subunit ribosomal RNA", at positions 198 to 643 of the family's 1533-position model. The record is from RNAcentral.
GGAGGAAAGCAGGGGAUCGAAAGACCUUAUGCUUUUGGAGCGGCCGAUGUCUGAUUAGCUAGUUGGUAAGGUAAUGGCUUACCAAGGCGACGAUCAGUAGUUGGUCUGAGAGGACGGCCAGCCACACUGGGACUGAGACACGGCCCAGACUCCUACGGGAGGCAGCAGUGGGGAAUUUUGGACAAUGGGCGCAAGCCUGAUCCAGCAAUGCCGCGUGAGUGAAGAAGGCCUUCGGGUUGUAAAGCUCUUUCAGUCGAGAAGAAAAAGUUGUGACUAAUAAUUUCAACUUAUGACGGUAUCGACAGAAGAAGCACCGGCUAACUACGUGCCAGCAGCCGCGGUAAUACGUAGGGUGCGAGCGUUAAUCGGAAUUACUGGGCGUAAAGGGUGCGCAGGCGGUUCUGUAAGUCAGAUGUGAAAUCCCCGGGCUUAACCUGGGAACUGCGUUUGAAACUACAAAGCUA